Molecule: ribosomal RNA, 253 nt
Filed under: uncultured bacterium
Lineage: Bacteria
Description: partial 16S ribosomal RNA
Rfam family: Bacterial small subunit ribosomal RNA
Source: RNAcentral
UACGAAGGGGGCUAGCGUUGCUCGGAAUUACUGGGCGUAAAGAGCUCGUAGGCGGCCUGUUGCGUCCGCUGUGAAAGCCCGGGGCUUAACCCCGGGUCUGCAGUGGAUACGGGCAGGCUAGAGGUAGGUAGGGGAGAAUGGAAUUCCCGGUGUAGCGGUGAAAUGCGCAGAUAUCGGGAGGAACACCGGUGGCGAAGGCGGUUCUCUGGGCCUUACCUGACGCUGAGGAGCGAAAGCGUGGGGAGCGAACAGG